Molecule: unclassified non-coding RNA, 347 nt
Filed under: soil metagenome
Description: partial contains 5.8S ribosomal RNA, internal transcribed spacer 2, and large subunit ribosomal RNA
Rfam family: 5.8S ribosomal RNA (bases 1-120)
Source: RNAcentral
GAUGAAGAACGUAGCGAACUGCGAUAAGUAAUGUGAAUUGCAGAAUUCAGUGAAUCAUCGAGUCUUUGAACGCACAUUGCGCCCCCUGGCAUUCCGGGGGGCAUGCCUGUCCGAGCGUCAUUGCUGCCCAUCAAGCCCGGCUUGUGUGUUGGGUCGUCGUCCCCCCCGGGGGACGGGCCCGAAAGGCAGCGGCGGCACCGUGUCCGGUCCUCGAGCGUAUGGGGCUUUGUCACCCGCUCGAUUAGGGCCGGCCGGGCGCCAGCCGACGUCUCCAACCAUUUUUUUCAGGUUGACCUCGGAUCAGGUAGGGAUACCCGCUGAACUUAAGCAUAACAAUAAGCGGAGGA